RNAcentral lists this ribosomal RNA (119 nucleotides) under Ochotona princeps (American pika). The record is from RNAcentral. Lineage: Eukaryota; Metazoa; Chordata; Mammalia; Lagomorpha; Ochotonidae.
GUGUACGGCCAUACCAUCCUGAACGCGCCUGAUCUCGUCUGAUCUCAGAAACUAAGCAGGGUUGGGCCUGAUUAAUAAUUGGAUGGGAGAUUAUACAAAAUUAAUGAAAGAUGUUGACG